This 80-nucleotide small RNA is filed under the name Lacinutrix venerupis. RNAcentral's name for it is "Flavo-1 RNA". Lineage: Bacteria; Pseudomonadati; Bacteroidota; Flavobacteriia; Flavobacteriales; Flavobacteriaceae. The record is from RNAcentral.
UUGCGUUAGCGGUUGAAAUGGUAUCCUUUUUUUGCUGCCAUAUAUGGUAAAAAAAGAUAUAAUGGAAGACGCUACUUUUU